Molecule: ribosomal RNA, 328 nt
Filed under: uncultured eukaryote
Lineage: Eukaryota
Description: partial 18S ribosomal RNA
Rfam family: Eukaryotic small subunit ribosomal RNA
Source: RNAcentral
CCCUUAGAUGUUCUGGGCCGCACGCGCGCUACACUGAUGCAUUCAACGAGUUCCUUCCUGGUCCGAGAGGAAUGGGUAACCUUUUGAAAGUGCAUCGUGAUAGGGAUAGACUAUUGCAAUUAUUGGUCUUCAACGAGGAAUUCCUAGUAGACGUAGUUCAUCAGACUGCAUCGAUUACGUCCCUGCCCUUUGUACACACCGCCCGUCGCUCCUACCGAUUGAAUGGUCCGGUGAAGCGUUCGGACCGUGGCCUUUGGACGGUUCGCCGUCUGUUGGCUGCGGGAAGUUCGUUAAACCUUAUCAUUUAGAGGAAGGAGAAGUCGUAACA